CUCGAUAAUGGCAAACCCCGAGUAAUUGGGGGACGCAAAGCCACAGAUCCCGCGAGGGAUGGCUGGGCCGUCGAAG
RNAcentral lists this non-coding RNA (76 nucleotides) under Marinobacterium lacunae. RNAcentral describes it as "Marinobacterium sp. AK27 c-di-GMP-I-GGC riboswitch aptamer". It matches the Rfam family "c-di-GMP-I-GGC riboswitch aptamer". Lineage: Bacteria; Pseudomonadati; Pseudomonadota; Gammaproteobacteria; Oceanospirillales; Oceanospirillaceae. The record is from Rfam by way of RNAcentral. RNAcentral also lists the same sequence under 1 other name.